This 468-nucleotide ribosomal RNA is filed under the name uncultured bacterium. Its description in RNAcentral is "partial 16S ribosomal RNA". It matches the Rfam family "Bacterial small subunit ribosomal RNA", at positions 28 to 507 of the family's 1533-position model. The record is from RNAcentral.
GACGAACGCUGGCGGCGUGCUUAACACAUGCAAGUCGAACGGAAAGGCCCUGCUUUUGUGGGGUGCUCGAGUGGCGAACGGGUGAGUAACACGUGAGUAACCUGCCCUUGACUUUGGGAUAACUUCAGGAAACUGGGGCUAAUACCGGAUAGGAGCUCCUGCUGCAUGGUGGGGGUUGGAAAGUUUCGGCGGUUGGGGAUGGACUCGCGGCUUAUCAGCUUGUUGGUGGGGUAGUGGCUUACCAAGGCUUUGACGGGUAGCCGGCCUGGGAGGUGGAACGGGGACCAUGGGACUAAGGUAGGGAGCAGUGGGCAAUCGGGGACAAUGGGCGGGAGUCUUGGCCAGCCGGGCGGAGUGUGUUGAGACGAUGUCCGGUGCGGGAAGCAGUUCUUGUGGGGAGGAACCGCAUUAAGCUGUUACCAAGCUGGAGUGACGGUAACGGGAGAAUAAGCACCGGCUAACUUCGUG